AUAUUGGACAAUGGGGGAAACCCUGAUCCAGCCAUGCCGCGUGUGUGAAGAAGGCCCUAGGGUUGUAAAGCACUUUAAUUAGGGAGGAAGGCCAUUUAGCUAAUACCUAAGUGGAUUGACGUUACCUAAAGAAUAAGCACCGGCUAACUCCGUGCCAGCAGCCGCGGUAAUACGGAGGGUGCAAGCGUUAAUCGGAAUUACUGGGCGUAAAGCGAACGUAGGCGGCUUAUUAAGUCGGUUGUGAAAGCCCCGGGCUCAACCUGGGAAUUGCUUCCGAUACUGAUAAGCUAGAGUACAAGAGAGGGUGGUGGAAUUUCUAGUGUAGCGGUGAAAUGCGUAGAUAUUAGAAGGAACAUCAGUGGCGAAGGCGGCCACCUGGCUUGAUACUGACGCUGAGGUGCGAAAGCGUGGGGAGCAAACAGG
Molecule: ribosomal RNA, 423 nt
Filed under: uncultured bacterium
Lineage: Bacteria
Description: bacterial SSU rRNA
Rfam family: Bacterial small subunit ribosomal RNA
Source: RNAcentral